GUGCAGCAGUCGCGAAAACUUUACAAUGUGCGAAAGCACGAUAAGGGAACUCUGAGUGCCUCCUAAGGAGGCUGUUCAGGUGUCUAAAAAGCACCUGGAGUAAGGGCUGGGUAAGACCGGUGCCAGCCGCCGCGGUAACACCGGCAGCCCAGGUGGUAGCCACUUUUAUUGGGUCUAAAGCGUCCGUAGCCGGUUGAGUAAGUUCCUUGGGAAAUUUGGCUGCUCAACAGUCAAGCUUCCAGGGAAUACUGCUCGACUUGGGACUGGGAGAGGUCAGAGGUACUCCAGGGGUAGGGGUGAAAUCCAUUAAUCCCUGGGGACCACCGGUAGCGAAGGCGUCUGACCAGACCAGGUCCGACGGUGAGGGACGAAGGCUAGGGUCGCGAACCGGAUUAGAUACCCG
Molecule: ribosomal RNA, 403 nt
Filed under: uncultured microorganism
Description: bacterial SSU rRNA
Rfam family: Archaeal small subunit ribosomal RNA
Source: RNAcentral